RNAcentral lists this long non-coding RNA (485 nucleotides) under Trifolium pratense (red clover). Its description in RNAcentral is "long non-coding RNA (TPRA_LNC010421)". Lineage: Eukaryota; Viridiplantae; Streptophyta; Magnoliopsida; Fabales; Fabaceae. The record is from RNAcentral.
CACUUAUAUUUAUGUUUAUGUUUUCUAACUCUCUGCUAUGUGUAAUUGCUGGACCUUUGGGGGUCCAGGUUGACAGGUUAUAUGUUAGCCUCAUCCGAGUGCAAUGGUGAAGCUCUGCUCUGAUUGAGACACGGGAAAAAGGGGUUUUUAUAUGUAUAUGCAUGUAGUCCUCUUAGUAUACUCUGUUGGUCUUAAGCUUUCAUUUGAAAAGUAUCCGUUUUGUAUAACUAAUAACGCAUCGUUCGAUGCGAGGUUUUGUUUUUAGUUCAUUCCAAUAUUUUACUAGAUAAAUGUAUUAGUAUUAUCUUUGAAUGAAGUUUGUGAUAUUCAAACCAGCGCUUUAUAAAUCAGAUUUUCAAUUUUCUGCUGCGUAUUUUCGAAAAAGAUUUUAUAAAGGCAGAGUUAAUUAAAUAACGGGUUUGGGUGUUACAAAGUGGUAUCAGAGCUAGUCGUCUUCGGACUGUGAGGUUAUGUGUCAAUCAGAG